This 495-nucleotide ribosomal RNA is filed under the name uncultured rumen bacterium 243pARRO. RNAcentral's name for it is "partial 16S ribosomal RNA". It matches the Rfam family "Bacterial small subunit ribosomal RNA", at positions 27 to 508 of the family's 1533-position model. The record is from RNAcentral. Lineage: Bacteria; Pseudomonadati; Bacteroidota.
UGGCUUAACGCUAGCUACAGGCUUAACACAUGCAAGUCGAGGGGCAGCAUGAAGUUKGCUUGCAAACUUUGAUGGCGACCGGCGCACGGGUGAAGUAACGSGUAUCCAACCUUCCCYUUAGUAGGGCAUAGCCCGGCGAAAGUCGGAUUAAUACCCUAUGUUAUCCGAAGAGGACAUCUGAAUUGGAUUAAAGAUUCAUCGYUAAGGGAUGGGGAUGCGUCUGAUUAGGUAGUAGGCGGGGUAACGGCCCACCUAGCYUACGAUCAGUAGGGGUUCUGAGAGGAAGGUCCCCCACAUUGGAACUGAGACACGGUCCAAACUCCUACGGGAGGCAGCAGUGAGGAAUAUUGGUCAAUGGACGARAGUCUGAACCAGCCAAGUUAGCGUGCAGGAUGACGGCCCUAUGGGUUGUAAACUGCUUUUAUGCGGGGAUAAAGUGARGGACGUGUCCCUUUUUGUWRGUWCCGCAUGAAUAAGNACCGGGNAUUCCUUUNA